ACAGGGAUUGCCCCAGUAACGGCGAGUGAAGCGGCAACAGCUCAAAUUUGAAAUCUGGCCCCUCGGGGUCCGAGUUGUAAUUUGUAGAGGAUGCUUUUGGUGAGGUGCCGCCCGAGUUCCCUGGAACGGGACGCCACAGAGGGUGAGAGCCCCGUCUGGCUGGCCACCGAGCCUCUGUAAAGCUCCUUCGACGAGUCGAGUAGUUUGGGAAUGCUGCUCAAAAUGGGAGGUAUAUGUCUUCUAAAGCUAAAUAUUGGCCAGAGACCGAUAGCGCACAAGUAGAGUGAUCGAAAGAUGAAAAGCACCUUGAAAAGAGGGUUAAAUAGUACGUGAAAUUGUUGAAAGGGAAGCGCUUGUGACCAGACUUGGGCGCGGCGGAUCAUCCGGGGUUCUCUCCGGUGCACUUCGCCGCGUCUAGGCCAGCAUCAGUUCGUCGCGGGGGAAAAAGGUUUCGGGAACGUGGCUCCUCCGGGAGUGUUAUAGCCCGUUGCAUAAUACCCUGCGGUGGACUGAGGACCGCGCAUCUGCAAGGAUGCUGGCGUAAUGGUCACCAGCGACCCGUCUUGAAACACGGACCAAGGAGUCGUCUUCGUAUGCGAGUGUUCGGGUGUCAAACCCCUACGCGUAAUGAAAGUGAACGCAGGUGAGAGCUUCGGCGCAUCAUCGACCGAUCCUGAUGUUCUCGGAUGGAUUUGAGUAAGAGCAUACGGGGCCGGACCCGAAAGAAGGUGAACUAUGCCUGUAUAGGGUGAAGCCAGAGGAAACUCUGGUGGAGGCUCGCAGCGGUUCUGACGUGCAAAUCGAUCGUCAAAUAUGGGCAUGGGGGCGAAAGACUAAUCGAACCUUCUAGUAGCUGGUUUCCGC
This 864-nucleotide ribosomal RNA is filed under the name Trichoderma hamatum. RNAcentral describes it as "LSU rRNA". It matches the Rfam family "Eukaryotic large subunit ribosomal RNA", at positions 68 to 961 of the family's 3401-position model. Lineage: Eukaryota; Fungi; Ascomycota; Sordariomycetes; Hypocreales; Hypocreaceae. The record is from RNAcentral.